GACGAACGCUGGCGGCGUGCUUAACACAUGCAAGUCGAACGGAAAGGCCCUGCUUUUGUGGGGUGCUCGAGUGGCGAACGGGUGAGUAACACGUGAGUAACCUGCCCUUGACUUUGGGAUAACUUCAGGAAACUGGGGCUAAUACCGGAUAGGAGCUCCUGCUGCAUGGUGGGGGUUGGAAAGUUUCGGCGGUUGGGGCUGGACGCGCGGCUUAUCAGCUUGUUUGUGGGGUAGUGGCUUACCAAGGCUUUGACGGGUAGCCGGCCUGAGAGGGUGACCGGCCACAUUGGGACUGAGAUGCGGCCCAGACUCCUACGGGAGGCAGCAGGGGGGAAUAUUGCACAAUGGGCGGAAGCCUGAUGCAGAAACGCCGCGUGCGGGAUGACGGCCUUCGGGUUGUAAACCGCUUUCGCCUGUGAAGAAGAGUGAGUGACGGUAAUGGGUAAAGAAGCACCGGCUAACUACGUG
RNAcentral lists this ribosomal RNA (468 nucleotides) under uncultured bacterium. RNAcentral describes it as "partial 16S ribosomal RNA". It matches the Rfam family "Bacterial small subunit ribosomal RNA", at positions 28 to 507 of the family's 1533-position model. The record is from RNAcentral.